Molecule: long non-coding RNA, 1600 nt
Organism: Zonotrichia leucophrys gambelii
Lineage: Eukaryota; Metazoa; Chordata; Aves; Passeriformes; Passerellidae
Exons: 3
Source: RefSeq, a predicted model, not a curated record
CCAGGUGAGGGGUGAGCAGGUGGCAAUGCCCAGGUGAGGGGUGGCAGGUGAAUGUGCCCAGGUGAGGGUGCCCAGGUGAGGGGUCAGCAGGUGGCAGGACCUCAUUAGGGCUCAUUAGAGCUCAUAAGUGCUCAUUAGGCUCCUUAGAGCUCACUAAGGCUCGUUGGGCUCAUUAGGGCUCAUCAGCCUCACUAAGGCUCGUUGGGCUCAUUAGGCUCAUCAGCCUCAUUAAGGCUCGUUGGGCUCAUUAGGGCUCAUUAGUGUGGUGGAGGAGCUUGGGGGUCCCCAGGGGUCAGCAGGUGAGAGUGCCCAGGUGUGCGGUCAGCAGGUGGCAGGGCCUCAUUAGGGCUUAUUAGAGCUCGUUAAGGCUCAUUAGCCUCAUUAGGGCUCAUUGGGCUCAUUAGAGGUCAUUAGGGCUCAUUGGGCUCAUUAGAGGUCAUUAGGGCUCCUUGGGCUCAUUAGAGGUCAUUAGGGCUCAUUGGGCUCAUUAGGGCUCCUUGGGCUCAUUAGAGGUCAUUAGGGCUCAUUGGGCUCAUUAGAGGUCAUUAGGGCUCGUUGGGCUCAUUAGAGGUCAUUAGGGCUCGUUGGGCUCAUUAGAAUGGUGGAGGAGCUUGGGGGUCCCCAGGGGUCAGCAGGUGAGGGGCAGCAGGUGGCAGGGCCUCAUUAAGGCUCAUUAGUCUUAUUAGAGCUCAUUAGGCUUGUUUGGCUCAUUACUCUCAUUAGGCUGAUUGGGCUCGUUAGGCUCAUUAGCCUCAGUUGAAUGGUGGAGGAGCUGGGGGGUCCCCAGGAUCAGCAGGGGGGGACCCCAAUGUUGGCCUUGUUUUGGGGGUGGGGACUCGUUAAGGCUCAUUAGGGACCUGUGCAGAGGCUCAUUAAUUAUGGGCAGCUCAUUAAGGCUCGUUAGGGACCUGCAUAGGCUCGUUAUAGGGGAUGGGGAGCUCAUUAAUGCUCGUUAAUUGGCAGGGGCUCGUUGGGUGCUGGGGGAUGCUGAGGUGGAGAUUAACGAGAUCUGAGGUUAAUGAGGUCAGUAGGGUUAAUGAGAUAUGAGGAUAAUGAGAUCUGAGGUUAAUGAGGUCAGUAGGGUUAAUGAGAUCUGAGGUUAAUGAGAUCUGAGGUUAAUGAGGUCAGUAGGGUUAAUGAGAUAUGAGGUUAAUGAGAUCUGAGGUUAAUGAGGUCAGUAGGGUUAAUGAGAUAUGAGGUUAACGAGGUCAGAGGUUAAUGAGGUCAGCAGGGUUAAUGAGAUAUGAGGUUAAUGAGGUCAGCAGGGUUAAUGGGAUACGAGGUUAAUGAGGUUAAUAAAGGAGCUCUGGGUUAACGAGGUCAGUGGGGUUAAUGAGAUCAGAGCUUAAUGAGGUCAGCAGGGUUAAUGAGAUCAGACGUUAAAGAAGUCAGAGGUUAACGAGGUCAGAGGUUAAUGAGGUCAGAGAUGAAUGAAAGUUAAUGAGGGGCUCAUUGAGACCCCGCCCCCUCUGUGGGAAGCCCCGCCCCCGCCCCGCCCCCCGGCCGGUGGGGGAGGGGCCGAUGUACAGAUUUUGUAGGGGGGAGGGGCCGGGCGCGUUUUUAACGAGCUUUGGGGCUAAUAAAGGCGGAUUUGGUUAAA